Molecule: ribosomal RNA, 1208 nt
Filed under: Salmonella enterica subsp. enterica serovar Typhimurium
Lineage: Bacteria; Pseudomonadati; Pseudomonadota; Gammaproteobacteria; Enterobacterales; Enterobacteriaceae
Description: partial 23S ribosomal RNA
Rfam family: Bacterial large subunit ribosomal RNA
Source: RNAcentral
GCCAGUGGUGAACUCCACAUCCGCAUCCUUUGCUGAGGAUACGGUUAACGGAGCGAAAGCGACGUUCAACCGCAAAACAAGCAGAGGGGGCUUAGUGGUGGGGUGACUGCGUACCUUUUGUAUAAUGGGUCAGCGACUUAUAUUCUGUAGCAAGGUUAACCGAAUAGGGGAGCCGGAGGGAAACCGAGUCUUAAUUGGGCGUUAAGUUGCAGGGUAUAGACCCGAAACCCGGUGAUCUAGCCAUGGGCAGGUUGAAGGUUGGGUAACACUAACUGGAGGACCGAACCGACUAAUGUUGAAAAAUUAGCGGAUGACCUGUGGCUGGGGGUGAAAGGCCAAUCAAACCGGGAGAUAGCUGGUUCUCCCCGAAAGCUAUUUAGGUAGCGCCUCGUGAAUUCAUCUCCGGGGGUAGAGCACUGUUUCGGCUAGGGGGCCAUCCCGGCUUACCAACCCGAUGCAAACUGCGAAUACCGGAGAAUGUUAUCACGGGAGACACACGGCGGGUGCUAACGUCCGUCGUGAAGAGGGAAACAACCCAGACCGCCAGCUAAGGUCCCAAAGUCAUGGUUAAGUGGGAAACGAUGUGGGAAGGCCCAGACAGCCAGGAUGUUGGCUUAGAAGCAGCCAUCAUUUAAAGAAAGCGUAAUAGCUCACUGGUCGAGUCGGCCUGCGCGGAAGAUGUAACGGGGCUAAACCAUGCACCGAAGCUGCGGCAGCGAACGUAUCACCCAAGACAACUUUACGGAGUUGACGAUUGACGGAGCGAAGCGACGUCAAAGCGUUCAUUAAAGUCGAGUUGGCUUAGGGAUACGUUCGUUGGGUAGGGGAGCGUUCUGUAAGCCUGUGAAGGUGUGUCGUGAGGCAUGCUGGAGGUAUCAGAAGUGCGAAUGCUGACAUAAGUAACGAUAAAGCGGGUGAAAAGCCCGCUCGCCGGAAGACCAAGGGUUCCUGUCCAACGUUAAUCGGGGCAGGGUGAGUCGACCCCUAAGGCGAGGCCGAAAGGCGUAGUCGAUGGGAAACGGGUUAAUAUUCCCGUACUUGGUGUUACUGCGAAGGGGGGACGGAGAAGGCUAUGUUGGCCGGGCGACGGUUGUCCCGGUUUAAGCGUGUAGGUGUGUGUUCCAGGUAAAUCCGGUUCACUUUAACACUGAGGCGUGACGACGAGGCACUACGGUGCUGAAGCAACAAAUGCCCUGCUUCCAGGAAAA